UUAUUUAUGAUGCAAAUAUUGCAAAAUGAAACAUAUUAGGUGGCCCUUACAAUGAACCAUUACAUUUCGGGCAAAACGUAUGGCUUUCAUGCAGACAGAAUUGAAAAACAGGAAAUAUUACUCUUCACGUAGAGUGACAGUGAUGAUCUUUUCGGCCUUCCAGUUCUGGAUCUCCAUCCCUGGUACGCACGACUUUAUCCAUUGAUUAAGCUCACAGUCACUGUCAAC
This 228-nucleotide long non-coding RNA is filed under the name Lathyrus oleraceus (garden pea). RNAcentral describes it as "Pisum sativum (pea) long non-coding RNA (PSAT_LNC038160)". Lineage: Eukaryota; Viridiplantae; Streptophyta; Magnoliopsida; Fabales; Fabaceae. The record is from RNAcentral.